AACGAACGCUGGCGGCAUGCCUAACACAUGCAAGUCGAACGAGACCUUCGGGUCUAGUGGCGCACGGGUACGUAACGCGUGGGAACCUGCCCUUAGGUUCGGAAUAACUCCCCGAAAGGGGUGCUAAUACCGGAUAAUGUCUUCGGACCAAAGAUUUAUCGCCUUUGGAUGGGCCCGCGUUGGAUUAGCUAGUUGGUAGGGUAAAAGCCUACCAAGGCGACGAUCCAUAGCUGGUCUGAGAGGAUGAUCAGCCACACUGGGACUGAGACACGGCCCAGACUCCUACGGGAGGCAGCAGUGGGGAAUAUUGGACAAUGGGCGAAAGCCUGAUCCAGCAAUGCCGCGUGAGUGAUGGAGGCCUUAGGGUUGUAAAGCUCUUUUACCCGGGAUGAUAAUGACAGUACCGGGAGAAUAAGCUCCGGCUAACUCCGUG
RNAcentral lists this ribosomal RNA (433 nucleotides) under uncultured bacterium. Its description in RNAcentral is "partial 16S ribosomal RNA". It matches the Rfam family "Bacterial small subunit ribosomal RNA", at positions 29 to 507 of the family's 1533-position model. The record is from RNAcentral.